Molecule: ribosomal RNA, 494 nt
Filed under: uncultured bacterium
Lineage: Bacteria
Description: partial 16S ribosomal RNA
Rfam family: Bacterial small subunit ribosomal RNA
Source: RNAcentral
GACGAACGCUGGCGGCGUGCUUAACACAUGCAAGUCGAACGGUGAAGCGCCUUCCUUUUUGGUGGGUGUGGAUGAGUGGCGAACGGGUGAGUAACACGUGAGUAACCUGCCCCCUUCUUCUGGAUAACCGCAUGAAAGUGUGGCUAAUACGGGAUAUUCUGGGUCUGUCGCAUGAUGGGUCUGGGAAAGAUAUUGUUUCGGUGGGGGAUGGGCUCGCGGCCUAUCAGCUUGUUGGUGGGGUGAUGGCCUACCAAGGCGGUGACGGGUAGCCGGCCUGAGAGGGUGGACGGUCACACUGGGACUGAGACACGGCCCAGACUCCUACGGGAGGCAGCAGUGGGGAAUAGUGCACAAUGGGCGCAAGCCUGAUGCAGCGACGCCGCGUGAGGGAUGGAGGCCUGCGGGUUGUGAACCUCUUCCGCCAGUGAAGCAGGCCUGCCUCGUUUGUGGGUGGGUUGACGGUAGCUGGAGAAGAAGCGCCGGCUAACUACGUG